GCAUUAUGGAGUAAUUCUUUUAUUAAGGUAGAAAAGAUGUCAUUGAUGGAUGAGUUGGUGUUUUAUAUUACAUGUAAGUGGCAAAUAUUAUCUUUACCUAUCAUGCCUAUGGCAUGUACAUGUAUGAUAUUGCAAGUACUCGACAUGUCCGUUUACUCAAAUAAUUUGCUUGUAAACAUGAAUUUUUAUUAUAUAUAUUAUUAGCAUGGGGCUAUGACAGAUGUAUAAGUUUUACCAAAAACAUUAUGGGAAGAGC
This 256-nucleotide long non-coding RNA is filed under the name Mytilus galloprovincialis (Mediterranean mussel). The record is from RNAcentral. Lineage: Eukaryota; Metazoa; Mollusca; Bivalvia; Mytilida; Mytilidae.